AGCGAACGCUGGCGGCAGGCCUAAUACAUGCAAGUCGAGCGGCCCUUCGGGGCAGCGGCGGACGGGUGAGUAACGCGUGGGAACGUGCCCUUUGGUACGGGAUAACUGAGGGAAACUUCAGCUAAUACCGUAUGUGCCCUACGGGGGAAAGAUUUAUCGCCAUUGGAGCGGCCCGCGUUGGAUUAGCUAGUUGGUGGGGUAAAGGCUCACCAAGGCUACGAUCCAUAGCUGGUCUGAGAGGAUGAUCAGCCACACUGGGACUGAGACACGGCCCAGACUCCUACGGGAGGCAGCAGUAGGGAAUCUUGCGCAAUGGGCGAAAGCCUGACGCAGCCAUGCCGCGUGAAUGAUGAAGGUCUUAGGAUUGUAAAAUUCUUUCACCGGGGAAGAUAAUGACGGUACCCGGAGAAGAAGCCCCGGCUAACUUCGUGCCAGCAGCCGCGGUAAUACGAAGGGGGCUAGCGUUGCUCGGAAUUACUGGGCGUAAAGGGCGCGUAGGCGGAUGUUUAAGUCGGGGGUGAAAGCCCGGGGCUCAACCUCGGAAUUGCCUUCGAUACUGGACAUCUUGAGUACGGGAGAGGUGAGUGGAACUCCGAGUGUAGAGGUGAAAUUCAUAGAUAUUCGGAAGAACACCAGUGGCGAAGGCGACUCACUGGC
This 657-nucleotide ribosomal RNA is filed under the name uncultured Alphaproteobacteria bacterium. Its description in RNAcentral is "bacterial SSU rRNA". It matches the Rfam family "Bacterial small subunit ribosomal RNA", at positions 28 to 733 of the family's 1533-position model. The record is from RNAcentral. Lineage: Bacteria; Pseudomonadati; Pseudomonadota; Alphaproteobacteria.